RNAcentral lists this ribosomal RNA (253 nucleotides) under uncultured bacterium. RNAcentral's name for it is "partial 16S ribosomal RNA". It matches the Rfam family "Bacterial small subunit ribosomal RNA", at positions 524 to 776 of the family's 1533-position model. The record is from RNAcentral.
UACGAGGGGGGCAAGCGUUGUUCGGAAUUAUUGGGCGUAAAGGGUGCGUAGGCGGUCUGGUAAGUCAUCUGUGAAAUCUAUGGGCUCAACCCAUAGUCUGCAGGCGAAACUGUCGGGCUUGAGUAUGGGAGAGGUGAGUGGAAUUUCCGGUGUAGCGGUGAAAUGCGUAGAUAUCGGAAGGAACACCUGUGGCGAAAGCGGCUCCCUGGACCAUUACUGACGCUGAUGCACGAAAGCUAGGGGAGCAAACAGG